Long non-coding RNA from Zingiber officinale, 1210 nucleotides. RefSeq lists it as uncharacterized. The transcript is spliced from 3 exons. NCBI's taxonomy places the organism in Eukaryota, Viridiplantae, Streptophyta, Magnoliopsida, Zingiberales, Zingiberaceae. The record is from RefSeq and is a predicted model, not a curated record.
AAUUGUCAUGAUAUGGAAAAAAAUUCUCCUUCUAACGGUCUAGUGGCUAGCACCCACCGUGAAAUCUGGGUUCGAAUCUCAGUAAAAUCGAAGGUAAAUGCUCACUGUUCCAAAGGGCUUCUCCUGGGAAUCAUUCGCCAAAACCCUAGUCCAUCUGUCGAUCUGGUCGUCCCUUCCCCGAGAGCUUCUAAUUCGUCUCCGAAUACCCCGGUCAGCUACCUCCUCUGCCCUCCCUUCCGUUUCCCUAUUCCUUUCCCAGCUCCGACAACAGUAGUUCAUUCGGUUUCUAAUCCAGGUUUUCCUGUGUUGUUGAUUGCGCAAGUCCGGAAGUUUCUUGACAGAAAAAAUCUUCAUUCUAAAUUAGUUUCUGAACUAAAUAUGUGUUGACUUUGAAUGCAGUAGGAAUCUUAAUAUUUUAUUGUAAUCCUUCCUAUGUCAAAGUCCAGUCUUCGUACUCUUUGUUGGAAUUAAACAUCUGAACUCCAUUUCAUUUUUUUUUUCUUUUGGGAUCUGAUGCGGAAUUCAUGUCCAUCUUCUUGCAUGUUGAAAAGAACAACUUUUUACAAAUGAGGUGCAUGGACUUGGUUAUGCUAUUCGAUAUCUAAUGUUACUGAUGGCGUACAAGAUGUCUAGACCUGUGCUAAGAACCUCAACAAUGCAUUUUAAUCAAGUUUCUAUUCAUGGAAUUGCUGCCUUGACACCUGCAAAGGACAUAAAGCUGUUGGUAUCAUGAAAGCCGGGCAGACAUUUACAAUAUAACCAAUGAUCAAUGCAGAGCCCUCUCCCUUUUCCAGUUGACAUAGUAACGCAAGGCGAAAAAUUGCUAUACUACCGCAGUAUUCUCUCCUAUGCCAACUUGUGCCAGUCAGGUUGAUGAUAAACCGGAGGUUCAUAGGCACAUUCCUUCCUGAAAUGAUGAUUGCAUCUUGGCUAAUUUUUCUCCAUCCUGUCUUUGAAACAACACUCAUACAGGCACUAGCAUCCCCUGCAAUGACGUUGAGGUUCGAACUGCAAGGUCGUCAUCGUAGCCAGUGUCUUUACGUGGUUAAACUCCUAACCUUGUUUUUCAAUUUGCAACCAUCUUUUUGAGCAAGCUUUGUCAUUCAUUCAAUUUGGCGAUUCGUGCUCAGUUAUUGGAGUAAAAUGUGAUGUCCCUUACCUCAAACAAUUAAGUAUCAUUGGUUUCACGACUAAAUAUAAAUAGAUAAAU